AAAGAGAAUCUAUAUAGCCGACCCAAAAUUCUUGGGAUAAAAACUUAGUCGAAUUUGAGUUGAGAUUGUAAAGAUAUCAGCACAUACUAGCAAUAGGUAAUCCAAUAAAAGAUGUAACAACCUAAAAAGCCAUAGUAUGGCAAAAAUAAUAUUGGCAACAGGGAAAAGAGGAAAUCAACAAACAAUUGAUCACCUCGGCAAAGUUGCCUAUUUUCAAAUUCUCAAAUUCUUUGAAUUUGCAAAAUUCUAAUUUGAAAAUCUCAAGUUCACGUCUUACCAGAACCAAAUGUAAUGGACUUUUUGGGAAUGACCGACUUUAUUUUGUAGCCCAAUACCCAGUAAGCCACAAAAUGAACCAACAAAGAAAGAAGAGUAAAAAAAGGAAUUUAGUGAACAUUAAUAUUGUAUUUUUAAUAUAAAAAAAAUUGUAUUUUUAAUAUGCAUAAAGAGGAAUGGAAGUAUAGAACUCAUUUUGAUUGCCCUAUUAACAUAUUAAACUUCCUAGUGUUUUGCUAUAUGAUUAACAGAAGCCCAAACUACUCUUCAACACUUUUUAGUCCAUCAAGGGGGAGGAAUCAUUCACACAGUUCUUGAGUGCAUUGAAAAACUUCAGAACCAAAAAAAGGAUAAAAUGAGUUGAGAAGGGAUUGUUCAUGCAGUCUUUGAUUUGAGUGCAUGAAAACUCCCCUGUCAGAGUAACUAUGACAAAUGCUCCAUUUGGAUGUUAAUCCAUAGCUUAUCAAAAAUGCUUAUUCACCAUUUAGGGGACAAUCUUGGGGGAGAGAAAAGGAACCAUUACCUAUUGGCAUUAUAAGAAAAGUUGUACAGCAUAUAAACCAUGCAAACAGCCAUUCCAAAGCUAUUUGGUGCUCUAGCACAACCAUAUGCAUCAACAACAAAUGCAACUUCCAUAGACAAUUAAAAUUUUACUAAAAUACCAAAAACAGGUUUGGACAUGAGGGGAAAAAAAAAAAAA
This 976-nucleotide unclassified non-coding RNA is filed under the name Hevea brasiliensis (rubber tree). Lineage: Eukaryota; Viridiplantae; Streptophyta; Magnoliopsida; Malpighiales; Euphorbiaceae. The record is from RNAcentral.